GGUCAAGCGAACAAGGGCGCAGGGCGAAUGCCUUGGCACUGGGAGCCGAUGAAAGACGUGAUAAGCUGCGAUAAGCUUCGGGGAGCUGCAAAUAAGCAUUGAUCCGGAGAUUUCUGAAUGAGGAAACUCACCUGGGUUCAUACUCAGGUACGUUAUACUGAACUUAAAAAUAGGUAUAUCGAGGGAACCGCCUGAACUGAAACAUCUAAGUAGGGCGAGGAAGAGACAUCAAACGAGAUUCCGUAAGUAGUGGCGAGCGAACGCGGAAGAGGGCAAACCGGGAGUAGAAAUACUUCCGGGGUACGGACCGCAUUUAGGACUUAAGUUGUUAACCGAACGGCAUGGGAAGGCCGGUCAGAGAGUGUGAGAACCACGUAGGUGAAAACGACAAGAGCUGAGCGAGUUCCAGAGUACGGCCAGACACGUGAAACCUGGUCGGAAUACGGGGGGACCACCCUCCAACCCUAAAUACUACCCAGUGACCGAUAGCGUAUAGUACUGUGAAGGAAAGGUGAAAAGCACCCCGGGAGGGGAGUGAAAAAGAACCUGAAACCCUGUGCCUACAAGCACCUAGAGCACGUCAAAGUGUGAUAGGGUACUUUUUGUAGAACGGUCCGGCGAGCGAUUGUAUGCAGCAAGGUUAAGGACUUAAGGUCUGGAGCCGAAGCGAAAGCGAGUUUGAAAAGGGCGUUAAGUUGCAUACAAUGGGCCCGAAACCGGGUGACCUACCCAUGGUCAGGUUGAAGUGGAAGUAAAAUUCCAUGGAGGACCGAACCGACCUCCGUUGAAAAGGCGGCGGAUGAACUGUGGGUAGCGGAGAAAUUCCAAUCGAACCCGGAGAUAGCUGGUUCUCCCCGAAAUAGUUUUAGGACUAGCCUCAAGUUAGAUACCUGGAGGUAAAGCACUGAAUAGCCUAGCGGCCGAGAGGUUAGCGAAGCUUAUCAAACUCAGAAUGCCAGAGUAUUGAUGCUUGGGAGUCAGACAGUGUCAGAUAAAUGUCAUUGUCAAAAGGGAAACAGCCCAGAUCUACAGCUAAGGUCCCAAAGUCAGGUUAAGUGGAAAACGAUGUGAAGAUACGUAGACAACCAGGAUGUUGGCUCAGAAGCAGCCACACAUUCAAAGAGUGCGUAAUAGCUCACUGGUCGAGCGUCUUUGCGCGGAGAAUUUAACGGGGCUAAACCUGACACCGAAGCUUAGGCAAUACAGCAAUGUAUUGGGUAGGGGAGCGUUGUAUACGCGGUGAAACAGUAGCGCAAGCGGCUGUGGAGUGUAUAGAAGUGAGAAUGCCGGAAUGAGUAGCGCGAAUGCAGUGAGAAUCUGCAUGGCCGAAAGCCUCAGGUUUCUGGAGGAAGGUUCGUCCGCUCCAGGUUAGUCGGGAGCUAAGGUGAGGCCUAACGGCGUAGCCGAUGCACAGACGGUAGAGAUUCCGUCACCACCAAAAGAGUUAAACACAGGGACACAUUUGAAGUCUCGGAGCCGGGUGUUGGUUCCGGUAGCGAUCGAGGGAAGUUAGUACCGAAGUCCGGGAUGGAAGAUGGCGAGAAAAGCUGUGUGUAUUUCUGCGGUGCCCGUACCGCAAACCGACACAGGUAGGUAGGAAGAAGAUUCUAAGGCCAACGGGAGAAGGGUUGUUAAGGAACUCGGCAAAUUGACCCCGUAACUUCGGGAGAAGGGGUGCUCCAGAGAUGGAGCCGCAGAGAAUCGGCCCAAGCAACUGUUUACCAAAAACACAGGUUUGUGCUAAAUCGAAAGAUGACGUAUACGAGCUGACGCCUGCCCGGUGCUGGAAGGUUAAGAGGAGAUGUGCAAGCAUUGAAUCGAAGCCCCAGUGAACGGCGGCCGUAACUAUAACGGUCCUAAGGUAGCGAAAUUCCUUGUCAGGUAAGUUCUGACCCGCAUGAAAGGCGUAAUGAUUUGGGCACUGUCUCGACAGCCCGCCCGGCGAAAUUGUAGUACCGGUGAAGAUGCCGGUUACCCGCGACAAGACGGAAAGACCCCAUGGAGCUUUACUGUAGCCUAAUAUUGGGUUUCGAUGUUGCAUGCACAGGAUAGAUGGGACACAGGGAAACAAGUGCUUUGGCAUUUGUGGAGUGGCCGUUGGGAUACCAUCCUUGCGAUAUUGGAAUUCUAACCUGCGCCUUUGAAUCAAGGCGGGGGACAUUGUUAGGUGGGCAGUUUGACUGGGGCGGUCGCCUCCUAAAGAGUAACGGAGGCGUUCAAAGGUUCGCUCAGCUUGAACGGAAAUCAAGCAAAAGAGUGCAAACGCAGAAGCGAGCCUAACUGCGAGACUGACGGGUCGAGCAGUAACGAAAGUUGGAGUUAGUGAUCCGGUGGUAUGUGAGUGGAAAUGCCAUCGCUCAACGGAUAAAAGUUACCCUGGGGAUAACAGGCUGAUCUCCCCCAAGAGUCCACAUCGACGGGGAGGUUUGGCACCUCGAUGUCGGCUCAUCGCAUCCUGGGGCUGUAUUCGGUCCCAAGGGUUUGGCUGUUCGCCAAUUAAAGCGGUACGCGAGCUGGGUUCAGAACGUCGUGAGACAGUUCGGUCCCUAUCUGUCGUGGGCGCAGGAUAUUUGAUGGGAGCUGUUCCUAGUACGAGAGGACCGGAGCGGACGUACCUCUGGCGCACCAGUUGUUCUGCCAAGGGCAUAGCUGGGCAACUAUGUACGGAUCGGAUAAACGCUGAAAGCAUCUAAGCGUGAAGCCGACCCAAAGAUAAGAUAUCCCAUUGUUUCAAACAAGUAAGACCCCUUGAAGACUACAAGGUUGAUAGGCAUGAUGUGUAAGUGGAGUGAUCCAUUCAGCAAGCAUGUACUAAUAGGUCGAGGGCUUGACCAC
RNAcentral lists this ribosomal RNA (2835 nucleotides) under Faecalibacterium sp. I4-1-79. RNAcentral's name for it is "Faecalibacterium sp. I4179 23S ribosomal RNA". It matches the Rfam family "Bacterial large subunit ribosomal RNA". Lineage: Bacteria; Bacillati; Bacillota; Clostridia; Eubacteriales; Oscillospiraceae. The record is from RNAcentral.